This 406-nucleotide ribosomal RNA is filed under the name uncultured bacterium. RNAcentral's name for it is "partial 16S ribosomal RNA". It matches the Rfam family "Bacterial small subunit ribosomal RNA", at positions 30 to 526 of the family's 1533-position model. The record is from RNAcentral.
AUUGAACGCUGGCGGCAGGCCUAACACAUGCAAGUCGAACGAGUGGCGGACGUGUGAGUAAUGUCUGGGAAACUGCCCGAUGGAGGGGGAUAACUACUGGAAACGGUAGCUAAUACCGCAUACCAUCGGAUGUGCCCAGAUGGGAUGAGCUAGUAGGUGGGGUAACGGCUCACCUAGGCGACGAUCCCGAGCUGGGCUGAUCGGAUGGCCAGCCACCCUGGAACUGAGACACGGUCCAGACGCCUACGUGGGGCAGCAGUGGGGACUAUUGCACAAUGGGCGCAAGCCUGAUGCAGCCAUUCCGCGUGUAUGAAGAAGGCCUUCGGGUUGUACAGUACUUUCAGCGAGGAGGCGUUACUCGCAGAAGAAGCACCGGCCAACUCCGUGCCAGCAGCCGCGGUAAUAC